Molecule: ribosomal RNA, 535 nt
Filed under: uncultured beta proteobacterium
Lineage: Bacteria; Pseudomonadati; Pseudomonadota; Betaproteobacteria
Description: bacterial SSU rRNA
Rfam family: Bacterial small subunit ribosomal RNA
Source: RNAcentral
ACGGGAGGCAGCAGUGGGGAAUUUUGGACAAUGGGCGAAAGCCUGAUCCAGCAAUGCCGCGUGCAGGAUGAAGGCCUUCGGGUUGUAAACUGCUUUUGUACGGAACGAAAAGGCUCUGGCUAAUACCUGGGGCACAUGACGGUACCGUAAGAAUAAGCACCGGCUAACUACGUGCCAGCAGCCGCGGUAAUACGUAGGGUGCGAGCGUUAAUCGGAAUUACUGGGCGUAAAGCGUGCGCAGGCGGUUUUGUAAGACAGAGGUGAAAUCCCCGGGCUCAACCUGGGAACUGCCUUUGUGACUGCAAAGCUGGAGUGCGGCAGAGGGGGAUGGAAUUCCGCGUGUAGCAGUGAAAUGCGUAGAUAUGCGGAGGAACACCGAUGGCGAAGGCAAUCCCCUGGGCCUGCACUGACGCUCAUGCACGAAAGCGUGGGGAGCAAACAGGAUUAGAUACCCUGGUAGUCCACGCCCUAAACGAUGUCAACUGGUUGUUGGGUCUUAACUGACUCAGUAACGAAGCUAACGCGUGAAGUUGAC